RNAcentral lists this ribosomal RNA (1371 nucleotides) under Curtobacterium citreum. Its description in RNAcentral is "16S ribosomal RNA". It matches the Rfam family "Bacterial small subunit ribosomal RNA". Lineage: Bacteria; Bacillati; Actinomycetota; Actinomycetes; Micrococcales; Microbacteriaceae. The record is from RNAcentral.
AGUCGAACGAUGAUGCCCAGCUUGCUGGGUGGAUUAGUGGCGAACGGGUGAGUAACACGUGAGUAACCUGCCCCUGACUCUGGGAUAAGCGUUGGAAACGACGUCUAAUACUGGAUAUGACCGCCGAUCGCAUGGUCUGGUGGUGGAAAGAUUUUUUGGUUGGGGAUGGACUCGCGGCCUAUCAGCUUGUUGGUGAGGUAAUGGCUCACCAAGGCGACGACGGGUAGCCGGCCUGAGAGGGUGACCGGCCACACUGGGACUGAGACACGGCCCAGACUCCUACGGGAGGCAGCAGUGGGGAAUAUUGCACAAUGGGCGAAAGCCUGAUGCAGCAACGCCGCGUGAGGGAUGACGGCCUUCGGGUUGUAAACCUCUUUUAGUAGGGAAGAAGCGNAAGUGACGGUACCUGCAGAAAAAGCACCGGCUAACUACGUGCCAGCAGCCGCGGUAAUACGUAGGGUGCAAGCGUUGUNCCGGAAUUAUUGGGCGUAAAGAGCUCGUAGGCGGUUUGUCGCGUCUGCUGUGAAAUCCCGAGGCUCAACCUCGGGCUUGCAGUGGGUACGGGCAGACUAGAGUGCGGUAGGGGAGAUUGGAAUUCCUGGUGUAGCGGUGGAAUGCGCAGAUAUCAGGAGGAACACCGAUGGCGAAGGCAGAUCUCUGGGCCGUAACUGACGCUGAGGAGCGAAAGCGUGGGGAGCGAACAGGAUUAGAUACCCUGGUAGUCCACGCCGUAAACGUUGGGCGCUAGAUGUAGGGACCUUUCCACGGUUUCUGUGUCGUAGCUAACGCAUUAAGCGCCCCGCCUGGGGAGUACGGCCGCAAGGCUAAAACUCAAAGGAAUUGACGGGGGCCCGCACAAGCGGCGGAGCAUGCGGAUUAAUUCGAUGCAACGCGAAGAACCUUACCAAGGCUUGACAUACACCGGAAACGGCCAGAGAUGGUUGCCCCCUUGUGGUCGGUGUACAGGUGGUGCAUGGUUGUCGUCAGCUCGUGUCGUGAGAUGUUGGGUUAAGUCCCGCAACGAGCGCAACCCUCGUUCUAUGUUGCCAGCGCGUUAUGGCGGGGACUCAUAGGAGACUGCCGGGGUCAACUCGGAGGAAGGUGGGGAUGACGUCAAAUCAUCAUGCCCCUUAUGUCUUGGGCUUCACGCAUGCUACAAUGGCCGGUACAAAGGGCUGCGAUACCGUAAGGUGGAGCGAAUCCCAAAAAGCCGGUCUCAGUUCGGAUUGAGGUCUGCAACUCGACCUCAUGAAGUCGGAGUCGCUAGUAAUCGCAGAUCAGCAACGCUGCGGUGAAUACGUUCCCGGGCCUUGUACACACCGCCCGUCAAGUCAUGAAAGUCGGUAACACCCGAAGCCGGUGGCCUAACCC